UAAAUCUUAUUCCCGAAAGGCCAAUAUACGUGAAACAAUUUCCGUAUGCUUUAUCCGUCACCGACUUUGUGAAUAGCGAAAUAAGUAGAAUGUUGUCAGAAUAAAUUAUAAGGCCUAGUUGAAGCCCUUACAACUCACCAGUUCUGGUAGUCCCAAAAAAAGGAGAGAAUCAAGACGGAAGCCGUACCCAAUGCAAGACCCAUCAGUAAUACUAUCUAAUUUAAGGAAAGCAAGAUAUUUUUCAGCAACAGAUUUAGAAUCAGGUUUUCAUCAAAUAUUAAUGAAAGAACCUGAUGUCAAAAAACAUCUUGUUCAAUAAAUAAUGGAAAAUACGAAUUUUUAAGAAUGCCAUUCGGAUAUUUGUUAAAUUUGUUAAAAAUUUUCCAGCGAGCAAUGGAUGACAUUUAAAGAGAACAAAUAAGGAAAACAUGUCAUGUCUACAUGGACGACAUUAUAUUCUCAAAUUCGAUUGAACAACAUUAUGAAGACUUAAACAAAAUUAUAAAUAUAUUAUUAAAUACAAACA
Long non-coding RNA from Drosophila elegans, 526 nucleotides. RefSeq lists it as uncharacterized. The record is from RefSeq and is a predicted model, not a curated record. The transcript is spliced from 2 exons. NCBI's taxonomy places the organism in Eukaryota, Metazoa, Arthropoda, Insecta, Diptera, Drosophilidae.